UACGGAGGAUCCAAGCGUUAUCCGGAAUCAUUGGGUUUAAAGGGUCCGUAGGCGGUUUGGUAAGUCAGUGGUGAAAGCCCAUCGCUCAACGGUGGAACGGCCAUUGAUACUGCUGGACUUGAAUUAUUAGGAAGUAACUAGAAUAUGUAGUGUAGCGGUGAAAUGCUUAGAGAUUACAUGGAAUACCAAUUGCGAAGGCAGGUUUACUACUAAUGGAUUGACGCUGAUGGACGAAAGCGUGGGUAGCGAACAGG
Molecule: ribosomal RNA, 254 nt
Filed under: uncultured bacterium
Lineage: Bacteria
Description: partial 16S ribosomal RNA
Rfam family: Bacterial small subunit ribosomal RNA
Source: RNAcentral